UGGCCAAGUGGUAAGGCGCASACUAGUAAUGCUGAGAUCAUCAGUUCAAAUC
RNAcentral lists this transfer RNA (52 nucleotides) under Yarrowia lipolytica. RNAcentral's name for it is "partial transfer RNA". Lineage: Eukaryota; Fungi; Ascomycota; Dipodascomycetes; Dipodascales. The record is from RNAcentral.